UGAGAUGGGAUGAGACAAGAAGAUGG
This 26-nucleotide non-coding RNA is filed under the name Homo sapiens (human). The record is from RNAcentral. Lineage: Eukaryota; Metazoa; Chordata; Mammalia; Primates; Hominidae.